Molecule: ribosomal RNA, 440 nt
Filed under: uncultured bacterium
Lineage: Bacteria
Description: partial 16S ribosomal RNA
Rfam family: Bacterial small subunit ribosomal RNA
Source: RNAcentral
CCUACGGGAGGCAGCAGUGGGGAAUAUUGCACAAUGGGGGAAACCCUGAUGCAGCGACGCCGCGUGAGUGAAGAAGUAUUUCGUUAUGUAAAGCUCUAUCAGCAGGGAAGAAAAUGACGGUAACUCAGUAAUAAGCCCCGGCUAACUACGUCCCAGCAGCCGCGGUAAUACGUAGGGGGCAAGCGUUAUCCGGAUUUACUGGGUGUAAAGUGAGCGUAGACGGCGGUGCAAGUCUGGAGUGAAAGGCGGGGGCGCAACCCCCGGACUGCUCUGGAAACUGUACGGCUGGAGUGCAGGAGAGGUAAGUGGAAGUCCUAGUGUAGCGGUGAAGUGCGUAGAUAUUAGGAGGAACACCAGUGGCGAAGGCGGCUUACUGGACUGUAACUGACGUUGAGGCUCGAAAGCGUGGGGAGCAAACAGGAUUAGAUACCCGUGUAGUC